This is a non-coding RNA of Aegilops tauschii subsp. strangulata, 3167 nucleotides long. NCBI's taxonomy places the organism in Eukaryota, Viridiplantae, Streptophyta, Magnoliopsida, Poales, Poaceae. The record is from RefSeq and is a predicted model, not a curated record.
UUGUUUUGCUUAGCCAUGGACAGUGAGGUCCCCCUUCUCUGAUUUCUUCAUUCCCAGUUCAUUUAUUUAUUUGAUAUCAAUAUCUUUACUAUAGGAUUUAUGUCCUUGCCAACUCUACAAUUGUUAAUUGCACACUCAGAGUCUGGAUAUUGAAUUAGCUACUUUUGCGAUCCCUGGACUACACGAGUCAAUAGAGCUGAUGUUCAUCAGUAUUUCUGGAUUGCCCAUCUUUCAGCUGAGUUAAGGCUUUUUCUAUUGUCUGCAAAUGAAAAUUAUUUGAUGUACCCCUGGUAUGAUAAAAGAAGAGAUUGCCCUUUUCCUUUGUAAAAUUUUCCACACAUGAUGUUGUCGAGGAUGAUUUCAGAAUUUAUAUGCUCAUUGGUUCCAUUACUCCUUUCCCCAUUAACUCAUAUUAGACAGUGGUGUAUAAAGGUUGCACCUGACUCUGUUUUCCAAGGAAAUACAAAUGAAGUUAUAUUACUUGCAACCUGCGACCCCUCUUCGCUAAACAAGAAAAGUAAAAAUGAUAACCUAUCAUGCAGUAAAAUUACGUGGCUGAUCUCUGUUUUGUGCAUGUUCGGUUGGGAUUAUGAGUUGUUCUACUUCCCUUAAGAGAGUUUAUUUUCCUCUCAUGAGAUGCAUACUUAUAUUUCUGGAAUAAAUGAAUCUUUUGGGUUGUAACCUGUUCUUAGUAACGAUGCCUUACCAUCUGCCUUCUCCUCUCCUUUAUGUUGUUUUUUCUAAAUUAUUUCUAUGGACUACUACCAUAACUUGUUGGUUUAGUUUAGGUGUCUAGGAAGAAUUUGCAGUCUUGCAGAUGAAUCAUGAUAUCAGGUUUAGGCAUGCACAUGGCCACUAAUCACAAAAAAUGAUAUCUGAUAAAGCCAUCAUCAUGUCAUGUAAUUACUUGCAGAACAACUAUAUUGUUUUUUGGGGCGGUAAAGCAGAAAUGAUAGGACUCUGCAAGUCAUGUGAGUGUUGUUUGAUUAUUUACUUUCUCAAGUGCGUGGAUGUCGUUAGCAUGUUUAGUAUACGCACGGAGAUAUGCAAAGUGUAAAAAUGGUUUCCUGGGAACGUCAGGUUUUUUUUCUCCUCGGAACGAACGAAACGUUCGCCAGGGAGCGAUCACCCCACCGAACGUUUUUGGUCGAUCUGGGGGAGGAGCUGGACCGAACGAUUCGCCCCAGGCCCCCACGCGAACAGUUGCCCCUGCAGGCAAAAACAAAACUUUGACUAGGCCUUUACAGCCUCCAAUUAGGCUAAAAAAUGGCCCUGUUUUUUGUGACGCCUCAACACUUGGAUCAUCGCUCGAGGUUAUCGCUUUUGAGUUUCAGGUGAUAGGUUAUUUUUAAUUGAUUUUUUGGAAAUCAUGAUGCUAAAUAUAUGGAUUGUGUCAGUUAGCUAAUCUAUUGGCUCUUUGAUGUGUAUGGUGACAUGAUGGCAAUGAAAAUACAUUUUGAACUGAUAGUAUUUGUAUAAUUUAAUUUUGACAGAGUAUAGGAGCAUACUCAAUGUCUUCCGCUUUUUGUAUGAGGUCGGCUUAUCUUGCUUAUAGUAAUUAGCUAAAUAAAUAUAUGGGCAUUUAAGAAUAUCUUUGCAAUUAGGCCAGGCGUGAGAAAAAUUUCAAAGAUGAUGUUCUCUUUUGGUGUAUUUCUAUUCUCCCUGUUCCAAAUCUUUUUUUUUGGAUGCCACUGGCACACCACAUGCUGUUCUGAAGAUAUCAUGCUAUGGGACUUCUCAGCAGAACCUAAACAAAAGGAAGCUAUGGUUUUACUUGCAGCUCAGUUUUCACAUCCUUCCCAGGUUUCACAAAAACAUAAACAUGCUUGGAUGGGUGUCCUUGCCUGCGACCUCGCUGUCUCCAACCCAUCCACAGGUUGUUUGAUAAUAGGCCUAAAAACCAAGAUAAACUGAUGUUUUCACACCUUUGCUUUGCAUCUGUGUUGACCAGAAGAAAUUGCUUACAGGUAUCGCAUAUCCUCUCUCGAAGAGAUGAGAUAAGGAUUACAGGGCUACCAACUGAGUUCUACGGCUCACCUCUGGAAGACAUCCUGAGUCAUUAUUUUGCAUGCUAGAGAACAACAACUAUCAUGUUGGUGAUUUCCCUGAUAUUUGGUUCUACAAGUGUGUCAUAUGGACCAAUGAAAGAAAAUAUAUUCCGGAGAUAAUAACUAUAUGGGCUACUCCAAAUGGUCUGACAGUGGAACCAGCACCUUUUAUAGGCCUUCAAGUACCUGUGGAAGUCUACCAUGCAAGCAUUAUCCGAUGAUGACACUGCUUUUUCGUACAUAUCAUCUUAAGACCGCGGUCAAACUAAGAAGAUGCCUAAAUAAGCUGUGAGGCAGCCUAUAUAUAAGUGUAUUUCUAUGAACUGACCUAAGUCAUUCUACUAUCUGUAAACCAAUUUAAGUCAUUCUACUAUUUGUAAAUCAGUUUAAGUCAUUCUACUAUCUGCAAUACAGUCCACACUGCAUUAUCUUUCCAUCUACAUUUCUUACUUACUCACCACUAACAUUGCUUCUAACUCGCUUUUUGCGCCAAUGGCGCAACCGGGUCAUCUAGUUACAAGAACAUUCCUCAAUUCCUCUAUGGCUUAAGCCCAUCUCAGAUGGAAAUGUUUAAAACUGACGACAACCCUUAUAAUCGGCAGUCAAAGAAAGUUACAGAGAAAUCUUGGAUUCAUAAAUGGGAGAAGCAUGGAAAGUGUUGCCAUGUUGUCGGCUCAGCUAAAGUCCUUAAUCAUGAGGAGAUGGGACAUGUCGAUUGUUAGAGUACAGUUGACAGAGGUGAUCGACGCUGACUUCGCCGCGAAGCCUUGUUGCCACGUCGCACAGAUGAUCGUCCAGGUGAUUUCGACGUCGGAGGUCGCCGAGGUGGAGGACCUUGACGCCACCGUUCGGGGGAGGGAGGAUUCGAGUCCACCGACGUCUGAACUCCGAGCCUAGGUAGAUACAUCUAGAGAAGUGGUCUGUUUAGGUUGGUGGUAGACCACUAGGGAAGGUACCCACCUUACGAUGAUGGUUGUGUGUGUCUGAUGUUAAAUGGAAUCUCGAGAUGGUUCUGUGACAUGUUAAAUGGAAUAUUGAGAUGGUUCAGUGACAUUCGUUUGUUUUGCAUUGGACAUAUUACUAGUCAUGAAUACUACAUCUAAUUAUUAUUAUUUUUAA